This 910-nucleotide ribosomal RNA is filed under the name uncultured archaeon. Its description in RNAcentral is "bacterial SSU rRNA". It matches the Rfam family "Archaeal small subunit ribosomal RNA", at positions 1 to 912 of the family's 1478-position model. The record is from RNAcentral.
UUCCGGUUGAUCCUGCCGGAGGCCAUUGCUAUCGGAGUCCGAUUUAGCCAUGCUAGUCGUGCGAGUUCAGACUCGCGGCACCGAGCUCAGUAACACGUGGCCAAACUACCCUACAGAGACGGAUACCCUCGGGAAACUGAGGUUAACCCGUCAUACCGAUCUCAGGCUUGAAUCGCAGAGAUCACAAAAUGCCCCGGCGCUGUAGGAUGUGGCUGCGGUUGAUUAGGUAGACGGUGGGGUAACGGCCCACCGUGCCCAUAAUCAGUACAGGUUGUGAGAGCAAGAACCUGGAGACGGAAUCUGAGACAAGAUUCCGGGCCCUACGGGGCGCAGCAGGCGCGAAACCUUUACACUGCACGCACGUGCGAUAAGGGGACUCCGAGUGCGAGGGCAUAUCGUCCUCGCUUUCGUGUACCGUAGGGUGGUACACCAACAAGGGCUGGGCAAGACCGGCGCCAGCCGCCGCGGUAAUACCGGCAGCCCGAGUGAUGGCCGAUCUUAUUGGGCCUAAAGCGUCCGUAGCUGGCUACGCAAGUCCGUCGGGAAAUCCACUCGCCCAACGAGUGGGCGUCCGACGGAAACUGCAUAGCUUGGGACCGGAAGGCUCGAAGGGUACGUUCGGGGUAGGAGUGAAAUCCCAUAAUCCCGCACGGACCACCGAUGGCGAAAGCACUUCGAGAAAACGGAUCCGACAGUGAGGGACGAAAGCCAGGGUCUCCAACCGGAUUAGAUACCCGGGUAGUCCUGGCCGUAAACAAUGUUCGCUAGGUAUGACACAGACUACGCGUCUCUGUUGUGCCGUAGGGAAGCCGAGAAGCGAACCGCCUGGGAAGUACGUCUGCAAGGAUGAAACUUAAAGGAAUUGGCGGGGGAGCACUACAACCGGAGGAGCCUGCGGUUUAAUUGGAGU